GGAAUUUGCAAGAAGUUCUAAAUUGUGAGGCUGGUGUUAUUGAAGAACUUCACAUGUAUUUUUCUAUAUACUGGGAUCAAAGAGAUGUUGAUUUAAUUCCAGAUGGGAUCUCUGUGCCUGUGAAUGAAACAAACAAGAGAGACUAUGUGUCCAAGUGUGUUGAUUACAUUUUUAACAUUUCUAUAAAGACAAUUUAUGACGAAUUUCAUAGAGGAUUUUACAAGGUGUGUAACCGGGACAGUAUUAGGCAUUUCCAGCCUGAAGAACUAAUGGCAGCAAUAAUUGGAAACCCUACUUGUGACUGGAAACAAUUUGAAAAUAAUUCAAAGUAUGAAAAUGGAUAUUCCAAAUCACACCCAACUAUUCUACUGUUUUGGAAGGCUUUCCAUGAACUAACUUUGGAUGAAAAGAAAAAGUUCCUCUUGUUUCUUACAGGAUGUGAUAGGCUACAUGUAAAAGGCCUACAGAAUGAAGGAAUAAGAUUCCGGUGUCCUGAAGUUUUCAGUGAAAGAGAUAACCCAAGAUCAUUGACAUGUCACAGUAUUCUAGACCUGCCUAAGUAUUCCACAAUGAGAAGGAUGAAGGAAGCACUUCAGGUUGCAAUCAACAAUAACAAGGGGUUUAUCUCACCGGAAUGAUGCAGAAGCAUUCACCUCCCAGCAGUCCACAGCCUCAGGGAUUAGGUCUUUUACUUUGGGGUUCUUCUGUCUUUCCUUAAUCUAAUUAGGGACAAGAGAUUAAAGGAUUUUACUUUAGUUUUUGAGAUAAAUAAGUUAUAAAAUAAUAUUUUAGUGAAAGAAUUCUAUAAAACAUUUGCCACAUUCCUAACAUUGCUCUUUUAGAAUGUUUUGGCUGCAAUAUUUUCUGAACAAACUAUGUUCCUUUAAUAAUAUACUAAAUAUUUAAAAUGUUCAAGACUAGGGGCUAAAGAGAGAACUUAGUGGUUAAGAUCACUGGCUGCUCAUCCAGAGGCCAGGGCUCAAUUCCCAGCACCCACAUAGCUGCUUACAUCCUGUCUGUAAUCCCAGUCUUAGGGGAUCCAACACUCUCCUCUGGCCUCCAAAACACACCAUGGAUAUGGUGCAUAGACAUACAUGCUAAAAACACCUAAAAUAUAUAAAAUAAAAUAAAAUAAAAUAAAAAAUAAAAUAGUAUUUACUUAUUUAAAGUGUUAUUGUACCAAUAAUAAACUAUUAGUUUAAAAGUAUUAAGAAACCAAGUUUGGAAAAGAUAAGCAAAAUAUGUACUGCUUUCAACAGUUUUUGAAGCAUAUAGAUGUAUAUUUUGUAUUAAGGAAUAUAUUUAGAGUUGUGAUUUUAGUAAAUGCUAAAUGAUUUAUUUUCAACUUCUAAGUGUUGAUAUUUAUUACUAUUUAAAGAUACUUAUACUUAGUGCUCCAAAAUACAUUCUAAAUAUAGAUCCUGUUAUUACACCUACUUCUGUUUGGUAAAAUGUGAAGAAGUUGAAAUAUGUCUUAUUAUGAUGCUAUAGAGUAAAUUAACAAAGCAACAUAACUGCUAUGGGAAAAGACCAAUACAUCUUGUAUACUAGUUCUACUUAAUGUUAAAACUUAAAUUGCAUUAUACAGUUUUGAAAUGAUUUCAUAAACUCAUAUAGUUUGUUGUAAGAAUGACAUAUAUGCUGCUGUGACGACCCCUCUUCAUUAAAGCUCCAUUUCUAUAAGGCUGUUUUAUCUUUAUAGACUUAUCAGACUUUAUGUGUUUACUGGAUUCCAAAGUGACCAAAUAAACUUAUUAAAAAUAGAUCAUUUAAAGAUAAUAAAAUGAUUGUC
Molecule: long non-coding RNA, 1792 nt
Filed under: Rattus norvegicus (Norway rat)
Lineage: Eukaryota; Metazoa; Chordata; Mammalia; Rodentia; Muridae
Description: long non-coding RNA NONRATT021452
Source: RNAcentral